AAAUGUUCUGAGAUUCCUGCUUGUGCAGCUGCAAGGAAAUCACUGAACGCCAUUUUUCCAUUCUCUGCAGGUCAGACAAGCUCCAUGUUGGCUGAGUCUUGGGCAUUUCAGUGUCAGAAUUCUGGCUCAUGUUAAGAAUUUGGCACUUGCUGAUGAGAAACCUGGUCUGUGGAGUAGUCUUCUCCCUUGUAUUGGAAGCUCCACUGUGGUCUGGUCCUAUGAGGUGAGUGCUCUGCUGGGGGUGCUCCCUCUAGGGUCUCACAGACCUCUGUUAGGUGGCCACGGUGGAUG
Molecule: long non-coding RNA, 291 nt
Filed under: Coturnix japonica (Japanese quail)
Lineage: Eukaryota; Metazoa; Chordata; Aves; Galliformes; Phasianidae
Description: lncRNA (ENSCJPG00005010192.1)
Source: RNAcentral